AUGGUGUCUCACCUUCUUCAUCCCAGUCAUCCCUUUAGUAAUGCAGAUGUAAGGAGGGAUUUUCAUAGGAGUAACAAUCGGGAGGCUGUGUCCCGCCCUCUUCGGCCCCAGGUCCUCGGGCUGACCCCGCCCCGCCCCCAGCCUUCCGCCGUCUCCGGCCCGGGCCCUCUCGGCCGCGCCCUCCCCUGCUGGUGCCGCUGCCGCCAUCACAGCGCCAGAAAGGUCCCAGACGGACAGCUUCGGAGACCAGGCCUACCGUUGCCGUUCGCUUCGUUUGGUGAGGUCGCUCGGCAAGGCUGUUGGGCACGGCCGUCCUGGCCCAGCCAUCGCCGGCAGUGAGCUAACGGAGCGCACGCGGCUGGACCUCGGUGUCCUCGGAGGACUGGGCCGUGUUUCUCGGCCCUCGGCAGCUGUGCGGGACCGGCCGGUUCCGCUGCUGUCGCCUGCCUGCUUGGUCCCGUCAGUCCGGGCGUCUCGGACUCGGUGCUUAUUUUUUUCUUGAAGUAUUUUGGAUCUCUGUUGUUAGUAUAUAUCCAUUUAUAAUUUGUAUGUCUUUGUGAUCAGUUGACUCUAUUCUCAUAAAUAUUGAAUAACAACCCAGCUAUCCCUCUGCUA
Molecule: long non-coding RNA, 615 nt
Filed under: Fukomys damarensis (Damara mole-rat)
Lineage: Eukaryota; Metazoa; Chordata; Mammalia; Rodentia; Bathyergidae
Description: lncRNA (ENSFDAG00000032652.1)
Source: RNAcentral